This 439-nucleotide ribosomal RNA is filed under the name uncultured bacterium. RNAcentral describes it as "partial 16S ribosomal RNA". It matches the Rfam family "Bacterial small subunit ribosomal RNA", at positions 339 to 795 of the family's 1533-position model. The record is from RNAcentral.
CUACGGGUUGCUGCAGUGCGGAAUAUUGCACAAUGGGGGGAACCCUGAUGCAGCAACGCCGCGUGGAGGAUGACGCAUUUCGGUGUGUAAACUCCUUUUAUAUGUCAAGAAAAUGACGGUAGCAUAUGAAUAAGCACCGGCUAACUCCGUGCCAGCAGCCGCGGUAAUACGGAGGGUGCAAGCGUUACUCGGAAUCACUGGGCGUAAAGGACGCGUAGGCGGGUUGGAAAGUCAGGUGUGAAAUCCUACAGCUUAACUGUAGAACUGCACUUGAAACUUCUAAUCUAGAGUAUGGGAGGGGGAGAUGGAAUUAGUGGUGUAGGGGUAAAAUCCGUAGAUAUCACUAGGAAUACCUAAAGCGAAGGCGAUCUCCUGGAACAUUACUGACGCUAAGGCGUGAAAGCGUGGGGAGCAAACAGGAUUAAAUACCCGGGUAGUC